This 253-nucleotide ribosomal RNA is filed under the name uncultured bacterium. RNAcentral describes it as "partial 16S ribosomal RNA". It matches the Rfam family "Bacterial small subunit ribosomal RNA", at positions 524 to 776 of the family's 1533-position model. The record is from RNAcentral.
UACGUAGGUGGCAAGCGUUAUCCGGAUUUACUGGGUGUAAAGGGCGUGUAGGCGGGGACGCAAGUCAGAUGUGAAAACCACGGGCUCAACCUGUGGCCUGCAUUUGAAACUGUGUUUCUUGAGUACUGGAGAGGCAGACGGAAUUCCUAGUGUAGCGGUGAAAUGCGUAGAUAUUAGGAGGAACACCAGUGGCGAAGGCGGUCUGCUGGACAGCAACUGACGGUGAGGCGCGAAAGCGUGGGGAGCAAACAGG